Molecule: ribosomal RNA, 292 nt
Filed under: uncultured prokaryote
Description: partial 16S ribosomal RNA
Rfam family: Archaeal small subunit ribosomal RNA
Source: RNAcentral
GUGCCAGCAGCCGCGGUAAUACCGGCAGCCCGAGUGAUGGCCGAUUUUAUUGGGCCUAAAGCGUCCGUAGCUGGCUGCGCAAGUCCAUCGGAAAAUCCACCCGCUCAACGGGUGGGCGUCCGGUGGAAACUGCGUGGCUUGGGACCGGAAGGCGCGACGGGUACGUCCGGGGUAGGAGUGAAAUCCCGUAAUCCUGGACGGACCGCCGAUGGCGAAAGCACGUCGCGAGGACGGAUCCGACAGUGAGGGACGAAAGCCAGGGUCUCGAACCGGAUUAGAUACCCGCGUAGUC